Molecule: ribosomal RNA, 127 nt
Filed under: Frullania microscopica
Lineage: Eukaryota; Viridiplantae; Streptophyta; Jungermanniopsida; Porellales; Frullaniaceae
Description: partial 18S ribosomal RNA
Rfam family: Eukaryotic small subunit ribosomal RNA
Source: RNAcentral
UUUCGGAUCGCGGCGACGCGGCGGUUCGCCGCCGGUGACGUUGUGAGAAGUUCAUUAAACCUUAUCAUUUAGAGGAAGGAGAAGUCGUAACAAGGUUUCCGUAGGUGAACCUGCGGAAGGAUCAUUG